AAACUCCUACGGGAGGCAGCAGUAGGGAAUUUUCGUCAAUGGGGGGAACCCUGAACGAGCAAUGCCGCGUGAGUGAGGAAGGUCUUCGGAUCGUAAAGCUCUGUUGUAAGAGAAAAACGGCACUCAUAGGGAAUGAUGAGUGAGUGAUGGUAUCUUACCAGAAAGUCACGGCUAACUACGUGCCAGCAGCCGCGGUAAUACGUAGGUGGCGAGCGUUAUCCGGAAUGAUUGGGCGUAAAGGGUGCGUAGGUGGCAGAUCAAGUCUGGAGUAAAAGGUAUGGGCUCAACCCGUACUGGCUCUGGAAACUGAUCAGCUAGAGAACAGAAGAGGACGGCGGAACUCCAUGUGUAGCGGUAAAAUGCGUAGAUAUAUGGAAGAACACCGGUGGCGAAGGCGGCCGUCUGGUCUGGAUUCUGACACUGAAGCACGAAAGCGUGGGGAGCAAAUAGGAUUAGAUACCCUAGUAGUCCACGCCGUAAACGAUGAGAACUAGGUGUUGGGGGAAUAACUCAGUGCCGCAGUUAACGCAGUAAGUUCUCCGCCUGGGGAGUAUGCACGCAAGUGUGAAACUCAAAGGAAUUGACGGGGGCCCGCACAAGCGGUGGAGUAUGUGGUUUAAUUCGAAGCAACGCGAAGAACCUUACCAGGCCUUGACAUCCCUUGCAGAGGUAUAGAGAUAUAUCCGAGGUUAUCAAGGAGACAGGUGGUGCAUGGUUGUCGUCAGCUCGUGUCGUGAGAUGUUGGGUUAAGUCCCGCAACGAGCGCAACCCUUGUGAUAUGUUACUAACAUUGAGUUGAGGACUCAUAUCAGACUGCCGGUGAUAAACCGGAGGAAGGUGGGGAUGACGUCAAAUCAUCAUGCCCCUUAUGGCCUGGGCUACACACGUACUACAAUGGCGUCUACAAAGAGCGGCAAGCCUGUGAAGGCAAGCGAAUCUCAUAAAGGGCGUCUCAGU
Molecule: ribosomal RNA, 957 nt
Filed under: human gut metagenome
Description: bacterial SSU rRNA
Rfam family: Bacterial small subunit ribosomal RNA
Source: RNAcentral